Non-coding RNA from Mus musculus (house mouse), 346 nucleotides. NCBI's taxonomy places the organism in Eukaryota, Metazoa, Chordata, Mammalia, Rodentia, Muridae. The record is from the annotation of a RefSeq genome assembly.
AUGAAGUCUCCCUCUCAGCUUCUGCUGAUCUUACAAUUCUGAUUCCCAGGCCUGAUAUGUGACAUCCAGAUUAGACAAUCUCCAUCUUCCUUGUCUUCAUCUCCAGAAGCCAGAGUCACCAUUACUUGCAGGCCAGAUGAGGAUAUUAGUGAUUGUUUAGCCUGGUAUCAACAGAAAUCGGGGAAUGUUGCUAAACUCCUAAUAUAACAUUCUUCCAGUGUUGAAUCCAGAGUUCCUUCAAGGUUCAGUGGCAGUGGAUUUGAAAAAGACUUUACUCUACCAUUAGCAAUCUGAAGACUGAAGAUGUUCCUACUUAUUUUUGUCAACAGUAUUUUAGUACCCAUAU